Molecule: ribosomal RNA, 465 nt
Filed under: uncultured bacterium
Lineage: Bacteria
Description: partial 16S ribosomal RNA
Rfam family: Bacterial small subunit ribosomal RNA
Source: RNAcentral
GACGAACGCUGGCGGCGUGCUUAACACAUGCAAGUCGUACGGUAAGGCCCUUUCGGGGGUACACGAGUGGCGAACGGGUGCGUAACACGUGAGUAACCUGCCCACAACUUUGGGAUAACGCUAGGAAACUGGUGCUAAUACUGGAUAUGUGCUCCUGCUGCAUGGUGGGGGUUGGAAAGCUCCGGCGGUUGUGGAUGGACUCGCGGCCUAUCAGCUUGUUGGUGGGGUAGUGGCCUACCAAGGCGGCGACGGGUAGCCGGCCUGAGAGGGUGACCGGCCACAUUGGGACUGAGAUACGGCCCAGACUCCUACGGGAGGCAGCAGUGGGGAAUAUUGCACAAGGGGCGCAAGCCUGAUGCAGCAACGCCGCGUGCGGGAUGACGGCCUUCGGGUUGUAAACCGCUUUCAGCAGGGACGAAGCUUUUUGUGACGGUACCUGCAGAAGAAGCACCGGCUAACUACGUG